Molecule: ribosomal RNA, 496 nt
Filed under: uncultured bacterium
Lineage: Bacteria
Description: partial 16S ribosomal RNA
Rfam family: Bacterial small subunit ribosomal RNA
Source: RNAcentral
GAUGAACGCUGGCGGCGUGCCUAAUACAUGCCAGUCGAGCGAACAGACGAGGAGCUUGCUCCUCUGACGUUAGCGGCGGACGGGUGAGUAACACGUGGAUAACCUACCUAUAAGACUGGGAUAACUUCGGGAAACCGGAGCUAAUACCGGAUAAUAUAUUGAACCGCAUGGUUCAAUAGUGAAAGACGGUUUUGCUGUCACUUAUAGAUGGAUCCGCGCCGCAUUAGCUAGUUGGUAAGGUAACGGCUUACAAGGCAACGAUGCGUAGCCGACCUGAGAGGGUGAUCGGCCACACUGGAACUGAGACACGGUCCAGACUCCUACGGGAGGCAGCAGUAGGGAAUCUUCCGCAAUGGGCGAAAGCCUGACGGAGCAACGCCGCGUGAGUGAUGAAGGUCUUCGGAUCGUAAAACUCUGUUAUUAGGGAAGAACAAAUGUGUAAGUAACUAUGCACGUCUUGACGGUACCUAAUCAGAAAGCCACGGCUAACUACGUG